This 312-nucleotide ribosomal RNA is filed under the name uncultured eukaryote. RNAcentral describes it as "partial 18S ribosomal RNA". It matches the Rfam family "Eukaryotic small subunit ribosomal RNA", at positions 1470 to 1796 of the family's 1831-position model. The record is from RNAcentral.
CCCUUAGGUGUCCUGGGCCGCACGCGUGCUACACUGAUGCAUACAGCGAGCACUUCCCGGCCCCGAAAGGCGGCUGGUAAUCAGCAAUAUGCAUCGUGAUGGGGAUAGAUCUUUGGAAUUCUUGAUCUUGAACGAGGAAUGCCUAGUAGGCGCAGGUCAUUACCCUGCGUCGAUUAAGUCCCUGCCCUUUGUACACACCGCCCGUCGCUCCUACCGAUUCGAGUGAUCCGGUGAACCUUUUGGACCGAGACUGCUUGCAGACUUGGGAAAUCAAGUAAACCACGUCACUUAGAGGAAGGAGAAGUCGUANCA